This 77-nucleotide transfer RNA is filed under the name Ancylobacter novellus. RNAcentral's name for it is "Starkeya novella tRNA-Lys". It matches the Rfam family "tRNA". Rfam says of the family: Transfer RNA (tRNA) molecules are approximately 80 nucleotides in length. Their secondary structure includes four short double-helical elements and three loops (D, anti-codon, and T loops). The record is from RNAcentral. RNAcentral also lists the same sequence under 2 other names. Lineage: Bacteria; Pseudomonadati; Pseudomonadota; Alphaproteobacteria; Hyphomicrobiales; Xanthobacteraceae.
GGGCGCGUAGCUCAGCUGGUUAGAGCAACUGACUUUUAAUCAGUAGGUCCUGGGUUCGAGUCCCAGCGCGCUCACCA